CAUUCUGUGGGUUGCCUUUUCACUUUGUUGAUGAUUUCCUUUGCUGUGCAGAAGCUUUUUAACUUGAUGUCAUCCCAUUUGUCUAUUUUUGCUUUGGUUGUCUGUGCUUGUGGGGUAUUACUCAAGAAAUCUUUGCCCAGUCCAACAUCCUGGAGAGUUUCCUCAACGUUUUCUUUAAGUAGUUUCAUAGUUUGAGGUUUUAGAUUUAAGUCUUUAAUUCAUUUUAUUUGGUUUUUGUAUAUGGCAAGAGAUAGGGGUAUAGUUUCAUUCUGCUGCAUAUGGAUAUCCAGUUUUCACAGCACCACUUAUUGAAGAGACUGUCCUCACCCCAGUGUAUAUUCUUGGCACCUCUGUCAAAAAUGAGUUCACUGAAGACGCAUGGAUUUAUUUCUGGGUUUUCUAUUCUGUUCUAUUGGUCUAUGUGUCUUUUUUUAUGUCAGUACCAUGCUGCUUUUGUUACUAUAGCUCCAUAGGAUAACUGGAAGUCAGGACUAUAGAAGCCAAAUUCCAAUGUGAAAAUGCACCUUUCAAUUGCACAGACUAGGUCAUAAUGGAGGUGACAGUCAUAAAAGAUUUUCUAGCUCUCAGCAGAGCUGUAAACCGGGACCCCUCAUCCAGGCAGACAGCACAGAAUCUGAAAAUCUGCCUAUCAAAAGCAUCAUUCAAGCCACAAGGCUCUUCUGUUCCCGGUAAAAGGCAGGCAGGAAAAGAGGAGACAAAGAAAAACGUUUAUGAUCUGAAGAUAUGGCCCAAAUCACCAACCACGCAAUUUGUUUUCUGAGGAAAGGAAAGACCUGGUGCAACUUUAUACAAAGAGCCCAUCAUUCAUCCUUGAUCGGGGAUAUUUUCUCCUCCCAGCCACUAAUCUGCUCUCUGCUCUUACAUUUGUACAUUUUUAGAACGAUAUUAAACAUUGGAAGAGUCAUUCAGGGAACUAAA
Pan troglodytes (chimpanzee) is the source of this 939-nucleotide long non-coding RNA. RefSeq lists it as uncharacterized. The record is from RefSeq and is a predicted model, not a curated record. NCBI's taxonomy places the organism in Eukaryota, Metazoa, Chordata, Mammalia, Primates, Hominidae. The transcript has 3 exons.